Molecule: transfer RNA, 72 nt
Filed under: Nippostrongylus brasiliensis
Lineage: Eukaryota; Metazoa; Nematoda; Chromadorea; Rhabditida; Heligmosomidae
Rfam family: tRNA
About the family: Transfer RNA (tRNA) molecules are approximately 80 nucleotides in length. Their secondary structure includes four short double-helical elements and three loops (D, anti-codon, and T loops).
Source: Rfam by way of RNAcentral
ACAUCGGUAGCACAGUGGUCAGUGCAGUAUGCCAGAAACAGAAAGACGCGGGUUUAAUUCCCGUCAAGUGUU